Molecule: transfer RNA, 60 nt
Filed under: Loxodonta africana (African savanna elephant)
Lineage: Eukaryota; Metazoa; Chordata; Mammalia; Proboscidea; Elephantidae
Rfam family: tRNA
About the family: Transfer RNA (tRNA) molecules are approximately 80 nucleotides in length.
Source: Rfam by way of RNAcentral
GCGGUUUAAUGGCAGGAUUCUUGCCUUUCAUGCAAGAGACCUAGGUUCACUUCCUAGGCA